UGGCGAACGGGUGAGUAACACGUGAGUAACCUGCCCUUAACUCUGGGAUAAGCCUGGGAAACUGGGUCUAAUACCGGAUAUGACUCCUCAUCGCAUGGUGGGGGGUGGAAAGCUUUUUGUGGUUUUGGAUGGACUCGCGGCCUAUCAGCUUGUUGGUGAGGUAAUGGCUCACCAAGGCGACGACGGGUAGCCGGCCUGAGAGGGUGACCGGCCACACUGGGACUGAGACACGGCCCAGACUCCUACGGGAGGCAGCAGUGGGGAAUAUUGCACAAUGGGCGCAAGCCUGAUGCAGCGACGCCGCGUGAGGGAUGACGGCCUUCGGGUUGUAAACCUCUUUCAGUAGGGAAGAAGCGAAAGUGACGGUACCUGCAGAAGAAGCGCCGGCUAACUACGUGCCAGCAGCCGCGGUAAUACGUAGGGCGCAAGCGUUAUCCGGAAUUAUUGGGCGUAAAGAGCUCGUAGGCGGUUUGUCGCGUCUGCCGUGAAAGUCCGGGGCUCAACUCCGGAUCUGCGGUGGGUACGGGCAGACUAGAGUGAUGUAGGGGAGACUGGAAUUCCUGGUGUAGCGGUGAAAUGCGCAGAUAUCAGGAGGAACACCGAUGGCGAANGCAGGUCUCUGGGCAUUAACUGACGCUGANGAGCGAAAGCAUGGGGAGCGAACAGGAUUAGAUACCCUGGGUAGUCCAUGCCGUAAACGUUGGGCACUAGGUGUGGGGGACAUUCCACGUUUUUCCGCNCCGUAGCUAACGCAUUAAGUGCCCCGCCUGGGGAGU
RNAcentral lists this ribosomal RNA (776 nucleotides) under Arthrobacter sp. MIDF16. RNAcentral's name for it is "bacterial SSU rRNA". It matches the Rfam family "Bacterial small subunit ribosomal RNA", at positions 96 to 881 of the family's 1533-position model. Lineage: Bacteria; Bacillati; Actinomycetota; Actinomycetes; Micrococcales; Micrococcaceae. The record is from RNAcentral.